Molecule: long non-coding RNA, 594 nt
Organism: Carya illinoinensis
Lineage: Eukaryota; Viridiplantae; Streptophyta; Magnoliopsida; Fagales; Juglandaceae
Exons: 3
Source: RefSeq, a predicted model, not a curated record
UCUUACAUGGUAUCAGUGAGCUUCAUAGAAAGAGUGGGCUUCCAUCUUUCCCUCAUCCCUCCUUGCAUCUUUUACGAUAUCAAUGAGUCCGAUGCCAUCCUUCCAUCCGUGCAAUAGAGAUCUUUUUCCCGCAAAGAUCUUCAUUUCCAACCUUCUCCCCUCCCGCCUAUCUCACUCCCACAAAAUCCAAGCGUAUAGACACGGUCAAGUAUGGACAAAUAACCAAGUAAUAUGGGUAUAGGAUUGACUGCUCCUUCACUGCAGGCACAACCUUCUCAAUGCAUCUCUUAGACCAAGAUGAUGAUCUACACCCUUAUAGAUGGUGGCAUCUAUGAUGAUCAACACCCUUUUGUGUGGAAGUUUUAGCAGUUGAAACUGAUGAUAGGCACAACUGAUUGUGUUUUAGUAGUUGAAAUUGAGGUAGAACUGAUUGUGUUUUGUUUAAAGUAUUUGUACAUGAUUUCUAUUAAAGAGCAAAAAGAACUAAACACUAUUUUUGUUAAAAGUGCUUGUUGAACACGGGAAUGUAUUUAUGCCUACUGUUGGUUCUUUUAUUCUGCUUAGCAAAGAGAUGGAAUGUAUUAAGUCACUUAA